ACGGAAGGCAGCAGUGGGGAAUAUUGCGCAAUGGGGGAAACCCUGAUGCAGCGACGCCGCGUGAGUGAUGAAGUAUUUCGGUACGUAAAACUCUAACAGCAGGGAAGAUAAUGACGGUACCUGACUAAGAAGCCCCGGCUAACUACGUGCCAGCAGCCGCGGUAAUACGUAGGGGGCAAGCGUUAUCCGGAUUUACUGGGUGUAAAGGGAGUGUAGGUGGCCUGGCAAGCCAGAUGUGAAAGCCCGCAGCUCAACUGCGGGACUGCAUUUGGAACUGUUAGGCUUGAGUGCAGGAGAGGAAAGUGGAAUUCCUAGUGUAGCGGUGAAAUGCGUAGAUAUUAGGAGGAACACCAGUGGCGAAGGCGGCUUACUGGACUAUAACUGACGUUGAGGCUCGAAAGCGUGGGGAGCAAACAGGAUUAGAUACCCUGGUA
Molecule: ribosomal RNA, 434 nt
Filed under: uncultured Lachnospiraceae bacterium
Lineage: Bacteria; Bacillati; Bacillota; Clostridia; Lachnospirales; Lachnospiraceae
Description: partial 16S ribosomal RNA
Rfam family: Bacterial small subunit ribosomal RNA
Source: RNAcentral